Molecule: non-coding RNA, 2269 nt
Organism: Paramormyrops kingsleyae
Lineage: Eukaryota; Metazoa; Chordata; Actinopteri; Osteoglossiformes; Mormyridae
Source: RefSeq, a predicted model, not a curated record
UGACAAGGACCACCAAUAUCAGGACAACCAGGAACUCUUACCUACACCCACCCAAUCAGUUCUUUUCCCCAUUGUUAUUGUUGCUCACUGCAAAUUAGACUGAGAACACCUGACAGCACUGUGCACUUUUCAGCCUGACCCACUGUACCGCUAAACUUCAGCACCACUUAAUUCAUUAAAACGUGGAAUGCCAUCCUGGGCAUCUAGCUUGAACAUGCCUAUAAGCUAAGUGCAGUGAGAGCAGCAGAGCUCUCUGAGCGCCAGGUGCUAUCCUGGCAGAGACAACUAAGGAAUAGUUAAGGGACUGUAUAAGAAGAACAAUCCAGAAAACCGGAGAUCAGGUUGCAGAACUGGUGAAAAUAUACCGGGGGCCCGCGACCUGCGCAGGACACUAAGUUCUCACUGGAAUUACAAUUCGUUCUUAAAGCACAGGCAAAAACACUUAAAGCAGAACUACAUUGUUCAUGAUCCAAGGGCCAAUGACCGUGAGGGCGAGCGCUAUUCAUUCACAAGCUACUUUGCUUUCGUCAAUCCCUACUCGUUGAUUUAUGUAAAAAACCAUUUCCUUGACUGCACAGCAUUUUGCCGAUUUCCUCUAUGAAUUACAAUGGUACAGGCGAAACGUCCAUGAGAAAAACGAACCAAUCCUUUCAUCCCCAACCUUCAGGACAUUUUAAUGUUUCGAGCUUAGUCCGGGAAAUAGGAGCAACAACACAAACUCGCGUAAAUUUUACAAAGCUAAAUAUUAUCUUAAAUACACUGUUUUAUGGGUGACAAGAGUAAAAUAUGGAAAUUUAAAACAUUCCAGUUACAUAAAAUAAAACAAUCACAACUUUUUAGGAGCACUCAGAUGACUUCUCUUCCCAAAAGUUUCGCAUUUGCCAGAUAGAGGGGCUGGUUGUAUCUUCUGAGGACAGAUACGCCAACGCAACUGCGGGGAAAUAAAUAAAUAGAGAAAGAAAUGCGGCUAGCUGGCCAGCUAGUGCUUCUGGAGUGUUACUCAUCGCGAUGAUGUCAGCUCCGAGGUAGCAGAAGGAACAUAUUCACCCCCUAGACUUGACAAGCCAGCAACGGAUUGACUCACACAUUGACAAGAAUUUACGUUUUUUUUUCCCAAGACCCAUAACGCCUGGAUAUAUCACGUUGCCGUUUGGCUGGUCGUUUAUUAGUAUGAUAUAUAUCUGCCAAAAGAAACGAGCCACUGAGGUUGGCCGGCUCGAGCCGGUGACGCCACAUUCAGCUGCUGCUAUACGCACCGCGUUAGCUACCCGGCUAGCCAGUUACUGUAGCUGUACACCCGGUACUGUUAAAAUAUUACACUCCAUCACUCACACACACACGCGGCCGGAUUCUGGCUACGUCCCAAAAAGAACAGACAGUACUACUAGACACACACGAAAAGAAAGAAGAAAGUGGGGAAACAUGCAGCGCUAGGAGGAGCGAGCAGCCGGUGGUCGCGGUGACAGAGCUCUCACCCUCAAGAUCAGGAGAAGGAGGCAUGUAUGGACACCAGGAUGCUGCCAGCAGCAGCACUGAAGACCAGAAACAGGACUAAUGGUCGGGGCUCAUCACUGGAACUGGCGACUUUGAGAAGGAAGGAAAAAGAAAAAACAUCAGGCACAGAUUGACGUUUCAAUAUAGCAGGCAAAGAGCAGUUCUCCUGAGUGAUCCACUUGGUGCUGAGGGUGCCGAAGGAGCGGCAGGCCUCAGCGUACGCAGCCAGCGAGCCGCACACCUGCGCCUUGCGAUGGUUAUAGCAACCAUCCAGGUAACAGGACUGGUAGAAAGGCCUGGGGUCCAGCAAACCAUGGCAGGGCUGGAAGAAGCCUUUCAUCUGGGUAUCGUUCAGCAUGAUCUAGCCCUGUGCUGUAAGUCAAAAAGGGUGAGGAAUUUCAUCAACAAGAAGAAAAUCAAGGUGCUUCAAUGGCCUGGAUACUCUUUGGAUUUAAACCCUAUAGAGGUCAAUCUGCAAGCAGCGCCAUGGAAUGGACCAUACCACAAAAGAUAAACAUUAAUUCAAGUAUGAUACCGGUACCCCAAGAUCAUCAAAGACUGCUCAAAAUUGUUGGAUUCUAUGCCAAAUCACAUCCAACUGCUACUAAAAAACCGAGGAGAUCAUAUAUAUUGAAAUGUUGAUAUGUGGAACUUGUUUUAGUUAAUUUGCACAAGGGUGUACAUACAGGCAAUAAAAUGUUCCGAGUUCUAAAAUUAAACUGAGGUUCUCUAGUAAGAAUCCUAUAUUAGGGCAAUAAGGCAACCUUUUGAUUUA